GAUGAACGCUAGCGGCAGGCUUAAUACAUGCAAGUCGAGGGGCAGCACGGGUAGCAAUAUCUGGUGGCGACCGGCAAACGGGUGCGGAACACGUACACAACUUUCCUUUAAGUGGGGGAUAGCCCAGAGAAAUUUGGAUUAAUACCCCGUAAUAUUAUGAGAUGGCAUCAUUUUAUAAUUAUAGCUCCGGCGCUUGAAGAUGGGUGUGCGGCUGAUUAGGUAGUUGGCGGGGUAACGCCCACCAAGCCUACGAUCAGUAACUGGUGUGAGAGCACGACCAGUCACACGGGCACUGAGACACGGGCCCGACUCCGUACGGGAGCAGCAAGUAAGGAAUAUUGGUCAA
RNAcentral lists this ribosomal RNA (346 nucleotides) under uncultured bacterium. RNAcentral describes it as "bacterial SSU rRNA". It matches the Rfam family "Bacterial small subunit ribosomal RNA", at positions 28 to 371 of the family's 1533-position model. The record is from RNAcentral.